RNAcentral lists this transfer RNA (72 nucleotides) under Anaerolineales bacterium. RNAcentral's name for it is "tRNA-Gln". It matches the Rfam family "tRNA". Rfam says of the family: Transfer RNA (tRNA) molecules are approximately 80 nucleotides in length. Their secondary structure includes four short double-helical elements and three loops (D, anti-codon, and T loops). The record is from RNAcentral. Lineage: Bacteria; Bacillati; Chloroflexota; Anaerolineae; Anaerolineales. RNAcentral also lists the same sequence under 1 other name.
UGGGGAGUGGUGCAAUUGGCAGCACAGCGGCCUUUGGAGCCGUUAAUCUUGGUUCGAGUCCAGGCUCCCCAG